This 379-nucleotide unclassified non-coding RNA is filed under the name uncultured bacterium. RNAcentral describes it as "contains 16S-23S intergenic spacer region". The record is from RNAcentral.
UCCAGUUUAUCACCGGCAGUCUCCCUAGAGUGCCCAGCAUUACCUGAUGGCAACUAAGGACAAAGGUUGCGCUCGUUGCGGGACUUAACCCAACAUCUCACGACACGAGCUGACGACAGCCAUGCAGCACCUGUGCAGGGACUCCGUAGAGGGGUCCUGGUUUCUCAAGACUUUCCCCUGCAUGUCAAGCCCAGGUAAGGUUCUUCGCGUUGCGUCGAAUUAAACCACAUGCUCCACCGCUUGUGCGGGCCCCCGUCAAUUCCUUUGAGUUUCAGUCUUGCGACCGUACUCCCCAGGCGGAAUACUUAACGCGUUAGCUGCGGCUCUGGACCGUUGACGGGCCCAAAACCUAGUAUUCAUCGUUUAUGGCAUGGACUAC